RNAcentral lists this ribosomal RNA (248 nucleotides) under uncultured Oscillospiraceae bacterium. RNAcentral describes it as "partial 16S ribosomal RNA". It matches the Rfam family "Bacterial small subunit ribosomal RNA", at positions 524 to 771 of the family's 1533-position model. Lineage: Bacteria; Bacillati; Bacillota; Clostridia; Eubacteriales; Oscillospiraceae. The record is from RNAcentral.
UACGUAGGUGGCAAGCGUUAUCCGGAUUUACUGGGUGUAAAGGGCGAGUAGGCGGGAUUGCAAGUCAGAUGUGAAAACUAUGGGCUCAACCCAUAGACUGCAUUUGAAACUGCAGUUCUUGAGUGAUGGAGAGGCAGGCGGAAUUCCCGGUGUAGCGGUGGAAUGCGUAGAUAUCGGGAGGAACACCAGUGGCGAAGGCGGCCUGCUGGACAUUAACUGACGCUGAGGCGCGAAAGCGUGGGGAGCAA